AUACGUAGGUGGCAAGCGUUAUCCGGAUUUACUGGGUGUAAAGGGCGUGUAGGCGGGAUCGCAAGUCAGAUGUGAAAUCUAUGGGCUCAACCCAUAGCCUGCAUUUGAAACUGCGGUUCUUGAGUGAUGGAGAGGCAGGCGGAAUUCCCGGUGUAGCGGUGAAAUGCGUAGAUAUUAGGAGGAACACCAGUAGCGAAGGCGGCUUUCUGGACUGUAACUGACACUGAGGCACGAAAGCGUGGGGAGC
Molecule: ribosomal RNA, 247 nt
Filed under: uncultured bacterium
Lineage: Bacteria
Description: partial 16S ribosomal RNA
Rfam family: Bacterial small subunit ribosomal RNA
Source: RNAcentral